ACUUCAAGGUAUCAUCAGUGAGCAAAGUUCUUAUAAAGCUUGUCACCACUAAUUCAAAACAUUGAAUAUAUGAUGUAAUGUCUUCAUCCAUCUCUUAUCUAAGGGAUAAUAAAGUAGUUAAGGCUGUAUUUUAUCCUACUUCAUGCUAAAAUUGUUUUAUUGAGGUACAUUGGAUCAUAUCCCUAUUUAAGAAGGUAUUGGAAGAAUGGUUGCAAUAUCACUCAUAUGCCCCCUCUUUUUAUGUAGUUGGAAAUCAUAUUAAAUAAUAAAAGCCGUCUAU
RNAcentral lists this long non-coding RNA (280 nucleotides) under Physcomitrium patens. RNAcentral's name for it is "long non-coding RNA (PPAT_LNC005532)". Lineage: Eukaryota; Viridiplantae; Streptophyta; Bryopsida; Funariales; Funariaceae. The record is from RNAcentral.